Molecule: ribosomal RNA, 495 nt
Filed under: uncultured bacterium
Lineage: Bacteria
Description: bacterial SSU rRNA
Rfam family: Bacterial small subunit ribosomal RNA
Source: RNAcentral
GGCGUGCUUAACACAUGCAAGUCGUACGAGAACUCUUUAGCUUGCUAAAGAUAGUAAAGUGGCGCACGGGUGAGUAACGCGUGGGUAAUCUGCCUCCGAAUCGGGGAUAACAUUGCGAAAGCGAUGCUAAUACCGGAUAACAUCUCAAAACCAUCUGGUUUUGAAAUUUAAAAAUGGCCUCUACAUGUAAGCUGUUGUUUGGAGAUGAGCCCGCGUACCAUUAGCUUGUUGGUAGGGUAAUGGCCUACCAAGGCCACGAUGGUUAGCUGGUCUGAGAGGAUGAUCAGCCACACUGGAACUGACACACGGUCCAGACUCCUACGGGAGGCAGCAGUGAGGAAUUUUGCGCAAUGGGGGAAACCCUGACGCAGCAACGCCGCGUGAGUGAUGAAGGCCUUCGGGUCGUAAAGCUCUGUCAAGUGGGAAGAAACUGUAAAAUGCUAAUAUCAUUUUAUACUGACGGUACCACUGAAGGAAGCACCGGCUAACUCCGUG